GGUCAGUGAUGAAUAGUAAAAGGUCUGAUUCGCUCAGAGCUUUGUCUCCAUUGCUGUUAUAACUCCCAGCAGUUUCUCUUCCAUCGUGCUCUAGAAAUGCCACGAAUGGGAGCUCAUCUGCUGAUAAGUAGUGAUGGAUUCAGUUUGUGCUGCUCUGGAGUAUGGAGUAGACACAACUGGAAAAGCUGUCCAACAUAAACUAAUAAAGGAGUUUGAAGUGAUGGAGUCACGUCUGGGUACAUGAUCUCAAGUCUUCCAGCUGAGACC
RNAcentral lists this small nucleolar RNA (267 nucleotides) under Salvator merianae (Argentine black and white tegu). RNAcentral describes it as "Small Cajal body specific RNA 6 (ENSSMRG00000022011.1)". It matches the Rfam family "Small Cajal body specific RNA 6". Rfam says of the family: U88 is small Cajal body specific RNA (scaRNA). scaRNAs are a novel class of small nuclear RNAs which localise to the Cajal bodies. Lineage: Eukaryota; Metazoa; Chordata; Lepidosauria; Squamata; Teiidae. The record is from Rfam by way of RNAcentral.